RNAcentral lists this ribosomal RNA (610 nucleotides) under uncultured Lachnospiraceae bacterium. RNAcentral describes it as "bacterial SSU rRNA". It matches the Rfam family "Bacterial small subunit ribosomal RNA", at positions 88 to 712 of the family's 1533-position model. The record is from RNAcentral. Lineage: Bacteria; Bacillati; Bacillota; Clostridia; Lachnospirales; Lachnospiraceae.
UAACUUAGUGGCGGACGGGUGAGUAACGCGUGAGUAACCUGCCUUUCAGAGGGGGAUAACGUCCUGAAAAGGACGCUAAUACCGCAUGAUAUAUUUGUGCCGCAUGGUAUGGAUAUCAAAGGAGCAAUCCGCUGGAAGAUGGACUCGCGUCCGAUUAGCUAGUUGGAGGGGUAACGGCCCACCAAGGCGACGAUCGGUAGCCGGACUGAGAGGUUGAACGGCCACAUUGGGACUGAGACACGGCCCAGACUCCUACGGGAGGCAGCAGUGGGGGAUAUUGCGCAAUGGGGGAAACCCUGACGCAGCAACGCCGCGUGAAGGAAGAAGGUUUUCGGAUUGUAAACUUCUCUUCUAAGGGACGAAGAAGUGACGGUACCUUAGGAAUAAGCUCCGGCUAACUACGUGCCAGCAGCCGCGGUAAUACGUAGGGAGCAAGCGUUGUCCGGAUUUACUGGGUGUAAAGGGUGCGUAGGCGGCAAUGCAAGUCAGAUGUGAAAUGCACGGGCUCAACCCGUGAGCUGCAUUUGAAACUGUGUUGCUUGAGUGAGGUAGAGGCAGGCGGAAUUCCCGGUGUAGCGGUGAAAUGCGUAGAGAUCGGGAGGAACACCAG